This 506-nucleotide ribosomal RNA is filed under the name uncultured bacterium. Its description in RNAcentral is "partial 16S ribosomal RNA". It matches the Rfam family "Bacterial small subunit ribosomal RNA", at positions 30 to 523 of the family's 1533-position model. The record is from RNAcentral.
AUUGAACGCUGGCGGCAGGCCUAACACAUGCAAGUCGGACGGUAGCACAGAGGAGCUUGCUCCUCGGGUGACGAGUGGCGGACGGGUGAGUAAUGUCUGGGGAUCUGCCCGAUAGAGGGGGAUAACCACUGGAAACGGUGGCUAAUACCGCAUAACGUCGCAAGACCAAAGAGGGGGACCUUCGGGCCUCUCACUAUCGGAUGAACCCAGAUGGGAUUAGCUAGUAGGCGGGGUAAUGGCCUACCUAGGCGACGAUCCCUAGCUGGUCUGAGGGGAUGACCAGCCACACUGGAACUGAGACACGGUCCAGACUCCUACGGGAGGCAGCAGUGGGGAAUAUUGCACAAUGGGCGCAAGCCUGAUGCAGCAAUGCCGCGUGUAUGAAGAAGGCCUUCGGGUUGUAAAGUACUUUCAGCGGGGAGGAAGGCGAUAAGGUUAAUAACCUUGUCGAUUGACGUUACCCGCAGAAGAAGCACCGGCUAACUCCGUGCCAGCAGCCGCAGUAA